UUUUGAGACAGCUGACUGGACUAAGGCAGAACGAAAGAGGGGAAGACUCACUUGUUUCUUCACAGGAUUAAACAGGGGCAGGCAGCUGGGACAAAGCAGCACUGGACCCGAGCUGGAGGGAUGGAUCCCGGGCCCUCCACUCACUGGCCGACAAUGACGGGCAAGUGGCUUCACCUCUCGUCCCUCAGUGACUUCAUCUAUAAAUGGGGCUGAAAUCAGGGAAUCAAAAGGCAUGAAGAGCUAGCCCCUAGCAUGACACUUGGCCUACUUUUGGUAUUUAAUAAACGUCUUCUGACCUGGUCCUCCUUCGUACCUCAACCACAUCAGACACAGCGUCAUGAUGAUUUUUCCCCUGAGCAAAGUGGCUUUGUGUGAAGUUGCUAGGCCUGAGUUUCCCCAUCUAAAAUACGCAGGUUGACCUGGAUGAUCUGUGCCUCAGCUACACCUACAGACCUCUCUGCUCACCAUCAUGAGUGCCCCUAGCAAAGGGAGACAGGGGCCCUGGGGUGUUGGGAGGAAUGGACACUCAAUUUCCAGUCAGGCAUUGAACAGGUCAGUGGAUUAGUGGGUCUGUGAUUCAUUCAUCCAUCCAUUUUGUCAACCAUUUGUUAGAUCAUUUGUCAACCAGCCAGCCAGCCCAGUGGCUGGUCAGCUCACAGCAUAUUCUGGUCCUUGUACUGCUUCCAGCCCAGUAAACUCAACCAAAGAGAAAGAGAACAGAAGAAUGAGAAUAAACAAACUCCAACUGCCCACAACAACACACUGAGUGAAAGAAGCCAGACCCCAAACUGAACAUACUGUAUGAUUUUCUUUGUAUUAUAAAAGUGUCACACACACACAAAAAGUGUCAGUACAUCCAAAACCAACCGAAAGUGUCAGAAGCCAUGAUAAGGAUUAUCCUAUGCAGGGGAUCAGGGAAACGGUAAGUAGUGACUGGACGGCAGCUCAUGGGGCUUUUGGGAUUCUGGUAAUAUUCUGUUUCUAAAUCUGGGUGCUGGUGACACAGUGUUUGCCUAGCGAAAAUUCAUUGAAUUGUACAUUUAAGUUUUUACACUUUCCUGUAUCUACGCUAUGCUAUAGUUCAAUAAAAAUUUACCCAAAAAAAUAAUAAAAGAAAGAAAAGAAAAGCAAGAAAAAGCAAGGAAAUGCACAGAGCAGUUAACUCAGCAAUUCCAGUUCUAAGAGCUGCUUAUCCUGUAGUUAUCCUUCCAGGUGGGCAAAUGAUGGAGGGGCAUGAUGUUCCUGGAAAACUGGAAACCUAAAAGUCUUGGUUAUUCAACCAGAAUGUUAAAUAAACAACACAUCCAUAUGAUGGAAUAUUACUUAACCAUUACAAAGUAUGAUCGUUAUGUACCAAUUGCAAUAAGCCCUUAGACUGAAAAGUCAGUAAGUGAGCCCAGGAGGUAUACAGCACUACCCUCUGUAGCAGCAAGCGUGCAUAGCCACAGGCUCUCUCUGGAACGACACAGGAGAAAGUGGUGGCAUUCUGGCCUGCAGGCUCACGCUCUCCCCUUAGGGGAUGUUAUCUGUGGCCACAUCCAGUCUGCCUGCCAGACCAUGCUCUUCCCGAGGGUCUACGGAGCCUGGUGCCAGUAGUCUUAGUUCAGUCUCCAAGUGAAUGAUUCGCAAUAGUCUGUAGCUUACAAAUUGCCAUCCCUCUGACUGCGGGCAGGGCCAGAUUCAGGGGUUUGGCGACGACCACAGACUGUCUGUCCAUCUGGAAGAUGGGCUAGAUGUGCGCAGAACAGGGGCUCAUGGCUGAAGAGGGCACAGUUCCCACAUGCGCCUGCUGUCCAAGGAGCAGAAACAGACCCUGGGGCAAGAGAAGCCAGAGUGCCAGUUCAGGGAGAGCUGCUGCCGCCUUCUGUCCUGCAGGAAAGAAGACUUGGCAAGGUCACACCGGCAAAACAAGGAUUUGUAUGCAGGUCUGACUCCAAAGCCCGGGCAUGCUGCCUUCUGCAGAGGCCAAUCAGGGAGGGCUUCACUGGGGAGUCAUAUGCAGUCUUUUUUUCUUUUUUUUUUUCUUUUUUGAGACGGAGUUUCA
This 2044-nucleotide long non-coding RNA is filed under the name Homo sapiens (human). Its description in RNAcentral is "HSALNT0300422". Lineage: Eukaryota; Metazoa; Chordata; Mammalia; Primates; Hominidae. The record is from RNAcentral.